Bos indicus x Bos taurus (hybrid cattle) is the source of this 567-nucleotide long non-coding RNA. NCBI's taxonomy places the organism in Eukaryota, Metazoa, Chordata, Mammalia, Artiodactyla, Bovidae. The record is from Ensembl.
GCUGUCCAAAGCCAGACUUAGCGUGUCAUUGUCUGGCAUGUACGAAUAUGAUGCUCUGGGGAGCACGAAGCAGAUUAUCUGAUGUGAAGUCUGUGGUCAAAGAACUCAAGGGCUUGUGACUGUCCCACCUGCUGAGGCCACAAGCUAUGGAGACCAACAGACUCGGAAGACGAGCUCCCCCGCUACCAGCUCUUGGGUUUCUCUGAGCCCCAGAAUGUCCAGCAGCAAAUGAAUAACAAAUACAUAGCCCACAGUGCCAGAAGAAACGUGGGGACAUGUCAUCGUAGAUUUGACCGCCACACCGCUGGGUCUUGAUUCCACAUCGGGCGCCAUGGUAAGAGCUGCUGAUCCAGCACUCGGAAUGCAGUGGUAGGAGAAGGAGCUUGUUCAGUGCAGCAGGACGGACUGGCGUGUUCACCGAACAAGAGAAGAUAUACUGGCUUCUUGUAGCUGCUAUAACAAAUUAUCAUAGGCGAUAAUUUGAAACAUCAGAAGUUGAUUGUCUCACAGCUCUGAAGGUCAGAAGCUCUCAAUAAAUGAACUGACAGGGCCCCGUGAUCUUGGCCG